CGGCGUCUACAAUGCAGUCGAGCGCUGCUUUUUCCUUCAGGAUUGGAUUAGCGGCGGACGGGUGAGUAACACGUGGGUAACCUGCCUCAUAUAAUGGAAUAGCCUUCCGAAAGGAAGAUUAGUACCCCAUAGCGUUGAAAGAUGGCCUCAUCAUUCCACCUGAGGAGCAAUCCGCUAUGACAUGGACCCGCGGCGCAUUAGCUGACUGGUGGGGUAACGGCCUACCAAGGCGACAAUGCGUCACCGACCUGACAGGGUGAUCGGCAACUUUGGGACUGAGACACGGCCCAGACUCCUACGGGAGGCAGCAACGCGGAAUAUUGCACAAUGGGGGAAACCCUGAUGCAUGAACGCCGCGUGAAUGAAGAAGGUUUUCGGAUCGGAAAGCUCUGUCUUUAGCGAAGAUCAUGACGGUACCCAAAGAGGAAGCCCCUGCUAACUACAUGCCCCCCUGCCCGGUACUACCUAGGUGGCGAGCGUUAUCCGGAUUUACUGGGCGUAAAGGGAGCGUAGGCGGAUGAUUAAGUGGGAUGUGAAAUACCCGGGCUCAACUUGGGUGCUGCAUUCCAAACUGAUUAUCUAGAGUGCAGGAGAGGAGAGUGGAAUUCCUAGUGUAGCGGUGAAAUGCGUGCAGAUUAGGAAGAAGACCAUCGGCGAAGGCGACUCUCUGGACUGUAUCUGACGCUGAGGCUCGAAAGCGUGGGCGAGCUCACUGGAUUGUAUACCCUGGUAGUCCUCGCCAUAAACGAUAGCUACUAGGAGUGGGGGUCUGACACCUCCCGUGCCGCCGCUAUGACAGUUAGUAUUCCGCCUGGGGAGUACCGUCGCUAGAUUAACAAAUCAAAAGGAAUUGCUCCGGGACGCCGCACAAGUACCGCAGCAUGUGGUUUCAUUCGAAAUCGACGGGGAAGAACCCUUACCUACACGUAGCCAGUCCCUUGCAUUUCCUCUUAAUCCGAAAGAAAUCCUCUUCCCGGGUCUUAAGAUGACUUGGUGGCUGCCAUGGGUGAUCGACCGUCUCCGCGUUCGUGAGAAUGAUGGGACUAAGGUCCCCCGCAGCGAGCGCAACACCCUUGUCGUUAGUGUACUGACCGAGUUAGAGUUCACGACAUCUAAGCCGACGACCUGCCUUAGGUUA
This 1138-nucleotide ribosomal RNA is filed under the name Clostridium perfringens. RNAcentral describes it as "bacterial SSU rRNA". It matches the Rfam family "Bacterial small subunit ribosomal RNA", at positions 40 to 1161 of the family's 1533-position model. Lineage: Bacteria; Bacillati; Bacillota; Clostridia; Eubacteriales; Clostridiaceae. The record is from RNAcentral.